GGCGUGAUGGUCUAGUGGUAAAGACGAAGUAUUGCAAUCGCGUGAGGCCAGGAUCGAUUCCUGGUUGUGUCA
Molecule: non-coding RNA, 72 nt
Organism: Paramuricea clavata
Lineage: Eukaryota; Metazoa; Cnidaria; Anthozoa; Malacalcyonacea; Plexauridae
Source: the annotation of a GenBank genome assembly